RNAcentral lists this small nuclear RNA (121 nucleotides) under Helianthus annuus (common sunflower). Its description in RNAcentral is "U5 spliceosomal RNA". It matches the Rfam family "U5 spliceosomal RNA". Rfam says of the family: U5 RNA is a component of both types of known spliceosome. The precise function of this molecule is unknown, though it is known that the 5' loop is required for splice site selection and p220 binding, and that both the 3' stem-loop and the Sm site are important for Sm protein binding and cap methylation. The record is from RNAcentral. Lineage: Eukaryota; Viridiplantae; Streptophyta; Magnoliopsida; Asterales; Asteraceae.
CAGCUAUGUAAUGAGCACAAAGCGAACUAUUCUUUCGCCUUUUACUAAAGAAUACCGUGUGCUCGUUGCACUAAAAUAGCAUACCCCUAUUUUUGGAGAGCUUCUUUCUUUUCGAAAGAAC